UACUCGAGUGGCGAACGGGUGAGUAACACGUGGGUGAUCUGCCCUGCACUCUGGGAUAAGCCUGGGAAACUGGGUCUAAUACCGGAUAGGACCAUGCUUUAGUGUGUGGUGGAAAGUUUUUUCGGUGUAGGAUGAGCCCGCGGCCUAUCAGCUUGUUGGUGGGGUAAUGGCCUACCAAGGCGGCGACGGGUAGCCGGACUGAGAGGUUGGUCGGCCACAUUGGGACUGAGAUACGGCCCAG
RNAcentral lists this ribosomal RNA (241 nucleotides) under uncultured Actinomycetales bacterium. RNAcentral's name for it is "partial 16S ribosomal RNA". It matches the Rfam family "Bacterial small subunit ribosomal RNA", at positions 88 to 334 of the family's 1533-position model. Lineage: Bacteria; Bacillati; Actinomycetota; Actinomycetes; Actinomycetales. The record is from RNAcentral.